GGGGUCACUCUCCAUCUGGGCUGUAGAGCCAGCAUGAGGCCUGGGCCUGCCUGCAGAGAAACAGCAUGCCAUCUCCUGUGCCCUUCUUGCUAAGGCUUAUCUAGCAUAGACUUGUAUGAUUCUUGCUAUGUUUCCAUGAUUCCAAAUCUUUUUUGAAAAAUUUUUUAUACAUAUUCUCUAGUUUCCUAAGAAAAUUACAUUAUGUGCUCCUUUAUUUCUUACUUGCAAGGCUGACAGAAAUAUGAGAAUAGUUCCAAGAAUUAUGUCCAUACCCUUAAACAGAUAGACCAAUUGCCUCCAUUGCCUCCAUCUUUCUCUACCAUUCUCUCACUCUAAAUGCUAUUUUUUCCCAAAACAUCUAAGAAUAAGCCUGACAUCAUGCCCCUUGUCCUAAAGACUUCAAUGUGUGUGUAUCCUAGGAACAAAGGUAUUCUACACAACCCGCAUGACCACAAUUGUAAAAUCAGGAUAUUUAACAAUGAUAUAUUACUAUUACCUAACGGUCCAUAGUCAUAUUUUAUCGAUUGUCCCAAUUAUGUUCUUCGUAGAUAUUUUUUUCCCUGAGUCUAGGGUCCAAUCCAGGAACAUGCAUUAUUUUUAGUUAUUUUGUCUCUUUAAUCUGUAACUGCUCCUCACUCUUUGUCAUUCAUGAUUUUAACAAUCUAAAAAAGUACAAUCUAGCUAUUUGAGAGAAUGUCCUUCAGUUGGGGUAGGUUUGAUAUUAACUCAUAAUUAGACAAUAGACUGAGUGCUAUUAGCAAGAAUUACAGAGAAGUGAGGUAUCCUUCCUGGUGUUUCUCAGCAGGCAGCACAAAAUUCACUUAGUCCCACUACCAAUGACCUGGAUUUUCACCACUCACUUAACAUGGUGUCCACCAAGCUUUUCCUCUGUAAAGUUACUGUUUUUCUCUUUGUCAUUAAUAAAUAACUGUGAUGCAUCCAUUGAUGAUUCUUUCUCAAAUCAGUUAUUAUUGUGAUCUUUAAAGAUGUUGAUUUUCUAAAAUUUCCUUCUAUAGCAAAGAACUUUUUCUCCCCUGUUAGAUAUUUUAUUCACUUAUCAGUUUGGACUCAUGGAUUUUAUUUUAUUCAUUAGGAUCAGUAUUUCAUUAUCACAUGUGGUGAUGGAUAUGUUCAUUUACUUCAUGGGGGAACCACAAUGUAUAUCGAGUCAUCACAUUAAAUACUUUACAUAUCUUAAAAUUUUCCUUGUCAGUGAUACUUUAAUAAAGUUUGAAAAAAAUACAUUCUCAUAGCAUGGAAUUUUACUCUAUUUAAUUUAUACAAAAGCAAAUCUUUAAUAUCAGUGGUUUUGAAGAGUGGUAUCUUUGUUGUAAUUAAUGUACAACUUCUAAACAAUCUUCUAGUAUCUUUCUUUGCUAAGCUAGUAUAGUAUAAAGUUCACCACUAUCAGUAGGAUAAUUCUCUUAGGUAUUAGGUUUUGAUAAAUUCAUAUUAGUCAUACCUUCUAUAAGUUCUUUAAGUUUUCUUUGCUCAGGCCCCCUCUCACCUCAAAGAAGAACAACUUUAGAGGUCAGGAGUUGUUUAAAAUAUACGUUGAUAAUAAAUAGUUCCUCUUAAUUAUUAAUUAUUGAUUCAUUUCUCUGUGUAAUUUAGCAUUAUCCAUUUGAGCUCUUAACAAUCUGUUUUGUUUGGAAUAUCUUCUGGUCAGUUUCCUUUUGAAAAUCCUACAUUGUAGAAUUUUCAAAAUUGGAUCUUACUUACAUGUGUACAAGGCUAAAAGCUUAUGACCAAAAGUUUAUGCCAUUUCAUUGAAGUGUGAAUCUACUGAUGACUGUUGGCUUCUCAUGUUGUCAUCAAAUGACAGUUGUGUGGAAUGGUUUAAUUCAACUUGCACCAAGGAAACUCUAUCUACUAUUGUUUGGAGGCUAAAGACCAAGAAAGCUAAUAAUUAGAAAACUUGUUAGAUAAAAACUACCUGAACAAAAAUUAGAGUUUGGAAGGAUUUCAAAUUUAGAUCAGAAGUAUGGAAAACAUACCUAAUGCCUUUUUAACUAGGCUUCUUCUUGGACUUAGGAAAAUAGGUAGGGUGAUUAGGAGGGGAAAAAAGGAUUCUGUUGGUUGAGAAGCAUUGAAAUAAGACUAAAUUUUCCAUUUAGAAGGUUAUUUAGAAUUUGCGUUAGUUUCAUGUUUAGCCCAAAUACGGCAUUCUGAUGUUUGGGGAAAUAUUUUCUCUACUGUAGAUAUUCCAAGUCCUUAUUUUGUUCUGCGGUAAUUUUAGAAAAGAGCCUUGACUCUCCAUUAGAGGAAGGUUUGUUUGAGUAUGCAAGUUGUUAUUUUAGAUGGCGAAAUCCACACAGAUGUGCAACUUCAUCAUAAAUAUGAUCUUAAGUAGCACCUAGUCCUGAUCAUAUUUAGAUGCUUCUAAUGGGAAAACAGAUCUUGCUUUUAAUUUUAGAGGAAUAAUAUUUAUUUGGCAGUGGCCUAUCUGAAACAGCAUUGGUGCUGGAAACCUAGCACUCUAUGACAGGUUUGUGUUCAUUUGCCAGAAUGGCCGAUACUGAAGUUUGAAGAGCUCUGUGCUUCCUAUAGCAGCAUAUGCAAAGUGAAUUCAGAUAGCUUUCAUCCAUCUCCAGAUGCUAUGCUUCCAUUCUUCUCACACUGAUACAAACAAUCUAGAAAACAAGCCAAAUUUUAGCCAUUGAAAGCUGCCACUCUGGUCUGUGGGUGUAUAAUGGCUUUCCUGUUCAACCCUGCAAAGCAGGCUGCAGCUCAAUGAUGACACAUAGGCUCUGAGCGUCAGUGUGAGGAUGAUGGAUCCAUCCAAAUUCCACGGUGCAUUGCCCACUCUCAUUUUCAUCAUGGCCUGUGUACUAUUGCUAUCAUCCAUUUUUCUUCGCAAGAAUAUGAGUAUUUCCUUACAAUUGUUUAGUCAGGAAUCAAGCAUCAAGUAAGCUGGGGACUGCUUUAAUAUUAUAGGUGGUGAGUCAACGAUUUCCUCAUGUUUAUGACCAGUUGAUGACUAGUUCCAAGUUAGAAGCAAAUGUUGACUGAUAACAUCUAUUAAAUACUUACAAAUGGUAAAUGCAGUAUAAAGCCUAGAAAAGCCAUGUUUCCUGUCAUCUAGCAGCUCAUAAUCUAAGACUAUUAAGAUAGUCAUACAUUCACUCUCUGCCUUACUCACCAGAUCCAAAGGAGAGUGGCUAAAAGGCUGUUAGUGAAAUAAUAUCUUUCCUAGUCAUUCUGAAUUAAGUCAGCUUUUUGUCAAGUAGAUGGUAUUUGAGAAUGUUUUCAGGAUGGGCAGUUGAUUACAAGUGGACCCAUGGGAAGUUUGUGGUGAUGGAAAUGCCUUCAGUGUUUGUUGUGCUGAUAGUGACAUGAGUGAAUACAUUUGUCAAAAUACAUCAAACUACACAUUUAGAAUAGAUGAAUUUUAAUAUUUUUAAAUCAUAUCUAGUUUCUAAUUUAUAAAACAAUCUUAGAAAUUAAUAUAAAUCCCAACUACAUGAUAGAACAUUCUUCAAAGUAUAUGAACAAUCAAUUCCUAGAAAAGGAAAUACAAAUGACUCUGAAGAAAAUAUACUGAUGCUAGACUCCUCUCAAGACGAAGGCAAUUGAAAAGAACAUGAGAUAACUUUCCUCAAAUUUACAGGUUAAAAAAAAACUGCAACAAACACACUUUAUAGGAAAACAGGUGCUUUCAUGCUUAAUUUGUUGAAGUGUAAAUUGAUGCUAUUCCUAUGGAAGUAGUUUGACAGUAACUAUUAAAAUUGCAAAUGCAUAUACCUUUAGAACAAAUAAUUGUCUUGGGGGAACUUUUUCAAAAUAUAUAGUGACAUGCAUGAAAAAUAACAUAUAUAUAAUGUAUUACUUGAAGGAUAAUUAAUAAUAAUUAUUCAAAUGUACAAAAUAGGGGCCUGGCUAAAUGAAUCAUGGGACAUCCCUGGAGUGGAAUACUGUGCAGCUGUAAAAAUGAUAAAGACUCUAUGUACUGGUAUAGUUCUUGAUAUUUAAGUGAAAAGACAAGGUACAAUUUCCAGGAAAAUAGAAUGGAUGGAAUAUCCCCUAUUCCUCUCCUGAAUACAAAUAAAAGUCCUGGACAUUAUAUAUGUAAACAAACAAUCAAAGAAAAGAAAACAGAAUAGGACUCUAAAAUGUUGGCAGAAAGCACAGCAGAUGAGCUGGGAAUCUCAGGACUCAAGAAACACAUAGUGGUGCAUGUUCUGGGUUUUCUUUCUGCUUCAUAUACUCCAGACUUGUUACUGAGAAAGCUGGUGAUCUGGAAACACCAAAAGGAGCACAAAAAAAUCUUGCCCUCUCCAGCCAAAGAAAUGGGCAGUUUAGCAUGAAUAAAAACUUUAAGAUAAUAACUACUCAAGCCAAACAUCACAGGAAAAACUAUGGCCCCACCCCCAACCAUACAAGCAAAGGCUAAGUAUGGAGAGUUGACUUCCUGGCUGGUCGCACUCCCCAAACGAAUGAUGGUAGGGGUGGUAUCAGAGGAUGUACAUCAAUAGGGAGCUUGAACUUACAUCCAUAAAUUGGAGUUAAUCGCAUUUUGAAAUUUGCCUUUUGAAGACUCUAUUAGAGGAUGGAAAGCUCUACAAACUACGGACUAAUAGAAAAUAUUUGCAAACCAUAAAUCCAACUUAAAUAUAUUAAAAACUCUUGAAACUCAAAACAUUUUUAAAAACCCAAAUAUACUUUUUCUUUAAAAAAAAUAUAUAUUUUUUUACGGCCACACCCGCGGCAUAUGAAAGUCCUCAGGCUAGGGGUUGAAUUAAGUUGCGGCUGCCGACCUCUGCCACAACCACAGAAACCAGGAUCUGAGCCAUAUCUGUGACCUAUGCAUCUUAUAGCAACACCGGAUAUUUUACCCACUGAGAGAGGCUGGGGAUCGAACCUAUAUCCUCAUGAACACUAUGACAGAUUCUUAACCCACUGAGGCACAAUGGGAACUCCCCCC
RNAcentral lists this long non-coding RNA (4924 nucleotides) under Sus scrofa (pig). RNAcentral's name for it is "lncRNA (ENSSSCG00000061626.1)". Lineage: Eukaryota; Metazoa; Chordata; Mammalia; Artiodactyla; Suidae. The record is from RNAcentral.